GAUGAACGCUAGCUACAGGCUUAACACAUGCAAGUCGAGGGGCAGCAUGAACUUAGCUUGCUAAGUUUGAUGGCGACCGGCGCACGGGUGAGUAACACGUAUCCAACCUGCCGAUGACUCGGGGAUAGCCUUUCGAAAGAAAGAUUAAUACCCGAUGGCAUAGUUCUUCCGCAUGGUAGAACUAUUAAAGAAUUUCGGUCAUCGAUGGGGAUGCGUUCCAUUAGGUUGUUGGCGGGGUAACGGCCCACCAAGCCUUCGAUGGAUAGGGGUUCUGAGAGGAAGGUCCCCCCACAUUGGAACUGAGACACGGUCCAAAACUCCUACGGGAGGCAGCAGUGAGGAAUAUUGGUCAAUGGGCGAGAGCCUGAACCAGCCAAGUAGCGUGAAGGAUGAAGGUCCUACGGAUUGUAAACUUCUUUUAUACGGGAAUAAAGUUUCCUACGUGUAGGAUUUUGUAUGUACCGUAUGAAUAAGCAUCGGCUAACUCCGUG
This 491-nucleotide ribosomal RNA is filed under the name uncultured bacterium. RNAcentral describes it as "bacterial SSU rRNA". It matches the Rfam family "Bacterial small subunit ribosomal RNA", at positions 28 to 507 of the family's 1533-position model. The record is from RNAcentral.